GGCUGAACGGUGGCGCAGUUGGUAGCACUGUUGCCUUCCAGCAAGAAGGUCAAGAAGGUCCUGGGUUCGAUUCCCAGCUGGGGGUCU
Molecule: non-coding RNA, 87 nt
Organism: Characodon lateralis
Lineage: Eukaryota; Metazoa; Chordata; Actinopteri; Cyprinodontiformes; Goodeidae
Source: the annotation of a GenBank genome assembly